Non-coding RNA from Pseudonaja textilis, 455 nucleotides. NCBI's taxonomy places the organism in Eukaryota, Metazoa, Chordata, Lepidosauria, Squamata, Elapidae. The record is from RefSeq and is a predicted model, not a curated record.
GCUGACGGCAGUAAGCAGAAUUAGCCUGAAAUACUGCAUUUUGACCACUGUGCUGCAAUAGCUGGGAUAAAAGCCAGGAUAAAAAAAAUCCCUAACCACUUCUGAAACAGGCCAUGAAAUAAAAGCAAAUUGAAACCUAAGUAGUUGGUCUCUCUGUGGAAGCUAAGCAGGGUUGGUGUUGGUUAAUCUUAGGAUGGGAGACCCCCAAGGUUUGAGGAGUCUCAGAAAUCUCAGCAGCAGCAACCAAUGUCAGGUUGAUGUUGAGGAAUGUCCAGGCUUGACUUGAAGGAGGCAUCUCUGGUCCCCUUUGGCUGUACCAUCCAAAAUACUGAAGAAUGGCAAAGCCAGAGAGAGGUGAGCAGAAACAUUUUUCAUCUCAUUCCCUGGAGUAAUCCCAUGGCAGAACUCACUACGCAAAGGAACCUCUACUUUCAGAGGCAGUCUACCCCAGAAUG